AAAUGCUAUAUCUUGUUCUAAAAUAUGAAAAAUGAUGUUAAUUCAUAGUUUUGAACCAAUUAAAGAACUAUCAAACAAUCUGCAACAUGAAUAACUUAAAAUGAGAUGCUGAGAUUAUGAAAUCUAGUAUUUAGUAGCUUGUUUCUCAUGGAAACCAGUAUGUUCGUUCCUACUCGGUAACAAAGUAUUUCAGGUCAAUUUUUCCAUCAGAGAUUUGUGAGGCCUCACGGUAAUCCAUCAAAACACAAAAUGAGUGCAAGGUGACGCUGCCAAAUUUUCAGUUUGCAGAAAAUGGAUUCAUGGAUGCCUGUAUUUCUUCCAAUGUUCG
This 328-nucleotide unclassified non-coding RNA is filed under the name Hevea brasiliensis (rubber tree). The record is from RNAcentral. Lineage: Eukaryota; Viridiplantae; Streptophyta; Magnoliopsida; Malpighiales; Euphorbiaceae.